RNAcentral lists this ribosomal RNA (430 nucleotides) under Pseudomonadota bacterium. RNAcentral describes it as "Proteobacteria bacterium partial 16S ribosomal RNA". It matches the Rfam family "Bacterial small subunit ribosomal RNA", at positions 355 to 776 of the family's 1533-position model. The record is from RNAcentral. Lineage: Bacteria; Pseudomonadati; Pseudomonadota.
UGGGGAAUAUUGGACAAUGGGGGGAACCCUGAUCCAGCCAUGCCGCGUGUGUGAAGAAGGCCUUAUGGUUGUAAAGCACUUUAAGCGAGGAGGAGGGUACUGGUAUUAAUACUACCAGGUACUGGACGUUACUCGCAGAAUAAGCACCGGCUAACUCUGUGCCAGCAGCCGCGGUAAUACAGAGGGUGCGAGCGUUAAUCGGAUUUACUGGGCGUAAAGCGUGCGUAGGCGGCUAAUUGAGUCGGAUGUGAAAUCCCCGAGCUUAACUUGGGAAUUGCAGUCGAUACUGGUUAGCUAGAGUGUGGGAGAGGAUGGUAGAAUUCCAGGUGUAGCGGUGAAAUGCGUAGAGAUCUUGAGGAAUACCGAUGGCGAAGGCAGCCAUCUGGCCUAACACUGACGCUGAGGUACGAAAGCAUGGGGAGCAAACAGG